AUAAUAUUGAGUUUGAUGAUGGCUCUGAUUGAACGCUGUCCAAGUGCUUGACACAUGCUAAUCGUACGUCAUAGGACUUAUCCUAUGAAGUGGUGUACAGGUGAGUAAAUGAAGUUAUAGCUGCCUUAGAGUAAGGAGAAAAAUCCCUUAUAUGAUAAUAACGUUAUGUUGUUAUUAAAAGAAAACAUAUUUUCGCUUUAAGAUGUUUAUAACUAUCUCGGGUAAGUAGUAGUUGAGGUAAUUGCUCAACUAGCUUAAGCCCGUAGUCGAAACUGAGAGGUUGAUCGACCACAUUGGGUCUGAAAAAACCCCAAUACGUAUAGUACAGCAGUGAGGAAUAUUGGUCAAUAGCCUAACGGCUGAACCAGCAACUUGGGGGAAUGUAAGCAUAUGUAUGGCCUAGCCACGCAUAUGUGUAUCGACUACGUCGUAUAAAGUUCUAGAUAGAUAACUGAUAAUGACAAUUUUCUAUCUAUAUGUCUUGACCAAAUCUCGUGCCAGCAGUCGCGGCAAUACGAGGAAGACUAGUGUUAUUCAUCUUUAUUAGGUUUAAAGGGUACCUAGACGGUAUAUCAAGCCCCAAAAGGGAACAGAUAUACUAGAGUUUUAUGUGAGAGGUAUAUAUUAGUACUAUUGGUGUAGAGAUGAAAUUCUUUGAUACUAAUGGAACGGAUAACAGCGAAAGCAAACCUUUAUGUAUAAACUGACGUUGAGGGACGAAGGCUUGGGUAGCGAAUAGGAUUAGAUACCCUAGUAGUCCAGGCAGAGAAUUAUGAAUGUUAUAGACUUGCGAAAGCAAGUGUAUAAAUGAAAGUGUAAGCAUUCCACCUCAAGAGUAAUGCGGCAACGCAGGAACUGAAAUCAUUAGACCGUUUCUGAAACCAGUAGUGAAGUAUGUUAUUUAAUUCGAUAACCCUCGAAAAACCUUACCACAAUUUGAAUAUUAUAGCGCUCCGGCGUUUAAUAAUACAAGUGUUGCACGGCUGUCUUCAGUUAAUGUCGUGAGAUUCUGGUUAGAUCCAUUAAAUUAACGUAAACCCUUGCUUUAUUUGUUUUUAUAAAGUAGUUCACCGCUAUAUUGGAUGUGAUAACAGGGACUAAGACAAGUCAUCAUGACCUUAAUAUUGUGGGCUAUAGACGUGCCACAUAUGCCUUUACAAAGAGAGGCGAAAAUGCGAAUUUGAGCUAAUCUCCAAAAUUGGAUAUAAUAUGAAUUGUAGCCUGAAACUCGGCUGCAUGAAAAAGGAAUUACUAGUAAUCGUGAAUCACCACAUCACGGUGGAUUUAAUCUCAGAUAGGUACUAACCACUCGUCAGGCGCUGAAAGGAGUAUGUGCAAUAAGUUUGGUUUCUUGUUAAUCUUCCCUCUUUACAAUUAGGUUUAGAUAUUUUUUCAAGCAAUCUUCGUAUGCGUGACUCUGAUUGGUGUUAAGUCGAAAUAUGGUUCGUGUAGUGGAAAUUGCACGGGAUUAAUAAAAAUU
RNAcentral lists this ribosomal RNA (1480 nucleotides) under Sydowia polyspora. RNAcentral's name for it is "SSU rRNA". It matches the Rfam family "Bacterial small subunit ribosomal RNA". The record is from RNAcentral. Lineage: Eukaryota; Fungi; Ascomycota; Dothideomycetes; Dothideales; Dothioraceae.